UGGGGAAUAUUGGACAAUGGGGGCAACCCUGAUCCAGCAAUGCCACGUGUGUGAAGAAGGUCUUCGGAUUGUAAAGCACUUUCGACGGGGACGAUGAUGACGGUACCCGUAGAAGAAGCCCCGGCUAACUUCGUGCCAGCAGCCGCGGUAAUACGAAGGGGGCUAGCGUUGCUCGGAAUGACUGGGCGUAAAGGGCGUGUAGGCGGUUUACACAGUCAGAUGUGAAAUCCCCGGGCUUAACCUGGGAGCUGCAUUUGAUACGUGUAGACUAGAGUGUGAGAGAGGGUUGUGGAAUUCCCAGUGUAGAGGUGAAAUUCGUAGAUAUUGGGAAGAACACCGGUGGCGAAGGCGGCAACCUGGCUCAUGACUGACGCUGAGGCGCGAAAGCGUGGGGAGCAAACAGGAUUAG
Molecule: ribosomal RNA, 409 nt
Filed under: uncultured bacterium
Lineage: Bacteria
Description: partial 16S ribosomal RNA
Rfam family: Bacterial small subunit ribosomal RNA
Source: RNAcentral